Molecule: unclassified non-coding RNA, 276 nt
Filed under: plant metagenome
Description: partial contains small subunit ribosomal RNA, internal transcribed spacer 1, and 5.8S ribosomal RNA
Rfam family: Eukaryotic small subunit ribosomal RNA (bases 1-54)
Source: RNAcentral
GGAAGUAGAAGUCGUAACAAGGUUUCCGUAGGUGAACCUGCGGAAGGAUCAUUACCGAGUUAGGGUCUUCUAGGCCCGACCUCCCAACCCUGUGUCUAUCCAACCUUUUGUUGCUUCGGCGAGCCCGUCCCCCUGGGGACCGCCGGAGGACCGUCAAACUGUCCUCUGGCCCGCGCUCGCCGAUGGCCCAAAACCAAAACUCUUGAACUAAACAUGAAUUGUCUAAGUACCACAUUUAAUAAAACAAAACUUUCAACAACGGAUCUCUUGGUUCUG